AGCGAACGCUGGCGGCAGGCUUAACACAUGCAAGUCGAGCGGGCGUAGCAAUACGUCAGCGGCAGACGGGUGAGUAACGCGUGGGAACAUACCUUUUGGUUCGGAACAACACAGGGAAACUUGUGCUAAUACCGGAUAAGCCCUUACGGGGAAAGAUUUAUCGCCGAAAGAUUGGCCCGCGUCUGAUUAGCUAGUUGGUGAGGUAACGGCUCACCAAGGCGACGAUCAGUAGCUGGUCNGAGAGGAUGAUCAGCCACAUUGGGACUGAGACACGGCCCAAACUCCUACGGGAGGCAGCAGUGGGGAAUAUUGGACAAUGGGCGCAAGCCUGAUCCAGCCAUGCCGCGUGAGUGAUGAAGGCCCUAGGGUUGUAAAGCUCUUUUGUGCGGGAAGAUAAUGACGGUACCGCAAGAAUAAGCCCCGGCUAACUUCGUGCCAGCAGCCGCAGUAAU
RNAcentral lists this ribosomal RNA (452 nucleotides) under uncultured bacterium. RNAcentral's name for it is "bacterial SSU rRNA". It matches the Rfam family "Bacterial small subunit ribosomal RNA", at positions 29 to 524 of the family's 1533-position model. The record is from RNAcentral.